UACGUUCCCGGCCUUGUACACACCGCCCGUCACGUCACGAAAGUCGGCAACACCCGAAGCCGGUGGCCUAACCCGUAAGGGAGGGAGCCGUCGAAGGUGGGCUGGCGAUUGGGACG
Molecule: ribosomal RNA, 116 nt
Filed under: uncultured bacterium
Lineage: Bacteria
Description: partial 16S ribosomal RNA
Rfam family: Bacterial small subunit ribosomal RNA
Source: RNAcentral